GUGUUUGUAGGACCGUAGUCAGACCUUCCUAGCCCCCUUCUCAUCUCUUUCUGUGGUUAGUGCUCUGAUGUCCCGAUAUAGAUAAUCUUGAAGUAAUUCUUGAUUCUUAGAUCAACUAGAGAACUCUCAGGAAACUUCCUCUCUUCCCACCAAAAAUAAUUAUAUAGUUAUCCUUGGGCGAUCUUGGAUCUUAAUUAGUACACUCACGUUCUCUGUGGAAAAUCGAUACUCUGGAAUACUCCCGGGUGAAGGCUACAUCGGUAUCCGUGCGCUUGCGGAUUUUUCUGUUUGCGUUUAAAAUACCCAACAAGCUUUCUGGCGCCGUUGCCGGGGAACGGUAGCUGUGCUAGUUUCGAACCAAGUCGUCCGUGUAUCCUUUUUUCUUUUCCUUUUUUACCACACUCACCUUAUCAUUUUCACCACACCACAUGGAUUUUACUCUAAGCAUUAAUGAGCAUGGAAUUUAUUUCAUAGCCACUUCAUUUACUCCAUGCUCAUAUGCAACAUCUUACGAAUCCAUUGGUUUUCCAACAUCACCAUAUUCGAGAUCUCCAACCCCCUCAUCCUGUCUAUUUACAAAAACUUUAAAAGGGCGGUUGUCGAUGCAUAUGUCUAUAAUAAAUUUUGCAGAUUUCGUUGAGUUGAUCUUGAUAUAGGUUGGUGUUGGAGGGGAAACCACUUCAGCAACAUAAAUUGAUGGUUUCCCAAGGACAAGCUUAGUGUCCUAAAACAAGCACUGAUCAGAUCGUAACAUGAGCUUUUAAUUAUUUGCAACACUACCUUGUGUAUUGAGCAUAUAAGGAUAAUUGUAAAAAUAUUCCUUCGGGUAUUCUUGUCACUAACCUUUCCAGGAUUGGAGCAAGAAGAUCAGAUGAAUGACAAGCACAAGGUAUGUACAACCAAUCAUCAUACAACAUUGAAUUAAAUUCAUCCAAACUUGAAUUUUGCAAAAUUCAAGCUUGGGGGAGUACUUUAUAUAAAAACAUCAUUUGCCAUGUUGCUAUGUUGGUUGUCCCUACCUUUGAGACAUGCUCAAUUUGUUAAAUAGUAAUCACACUACUUCAUCUCCACUUGAGUAGAUCUCUAUAAAAGCCAUCACGCUACCUUUGUUUAUCCAAGUAAGUGUUAGUUUGGAAGUACUGUACAUACUUCUAUUGGUUUUUAAAUUAUGCAUGGUGCUUAGGUUAAACAGCCUUCCUUAAUCUAAUUAGACAUGGAGUCUAGUUUGGUUAUUGAACUAAAAACUGCUUGUGUAGACAUUGGUAUAUUUUGUUGGACUAACCCCUGCAGGAAAACUUUCAAUAUCGACCUGGGAAGUCCUGUGAUAAACUCACAUUGGAGACAAAGAGAGACACACAUAAAGUUUAACAAUUUACACAAGGAAGGCGUAGCUCACAAGAGAUGAUCCAUGGAGGGUGCCACAAACACGAUGCACAACCGCUAAGAGAGGAAAGCUUCCACAAGGUGAUACUAUACCAUCACUCUUCAAGUAAGGUAACAUCUUAAGGUACUUGACUAUCACUUCUAUAAGCUUCUCCUUGGUUCUGGCGUUCACAUGAAUAAAAGAGACAAACAUGUAUGAUUUGCAACUCUAGAUUAACCAACCAAAUCGAUUCAACAUGUUUAAUCCUUCCACCUUUGUGAUCCCACACUCCUAAUCAUAUGAACUAAAAUGUUGCACAUUCAAUCUCUGGAAGAUAUAAACAAAACAUAAGUAUAGAUAGAUUAUCUUUCCAUUAGGUUGAGUGAUCUGAUCUGACGAAUGUUUUAAAUGCUACACUCAUGAUCUUAUUAUCCAUCAACUGUGUCUUGCUCACUAUGCUUAAGGAUAGAGAAGAGCAAAUACACUUUUGGUUCUGUUGGUGUUUUCCACCAACAGGGCCCAUGCACUUGAUCUCUGCCUUGUCUCUACGAGCAGGUACACUUCGAGCAAAAUAUGAAGGACUUUUAUAACUCCCAGACUCCACCAAGUGAAGAACUUAGAUCUACGAGCACAAACACACUGGAGAGACUGGACACUCAGGCAAUCACUGCCCUGAGAUGCUUGAGGACGUAACUACUAGAGUAACCCCGUUGUGGAAGUAAUUACUGACCUUCUGCCGGUCAAGAGAGACAAUCCAGGACGCCCCGUCAUCCCGAUCUCCAUCGGCAUGGUGGACUUCCUAGAAGCACUCUACAACUUUGGCUCGAGCGUCAACAUUAUGCCUAGGGGAAUAUUGAAGAACCUCUACGUCCGAGGAGGCCAUUCCUGAACACCUCGGGAGCUAUCAUCUACGCUAGUGCUGCCAAGAUCAGUUUCUACAUCAAGGGAAGGAAGGAGAUGUUUUCCUUCAAGAACAAGACUAUACAAAUCUCAGAGCAAUCCCGACAUGAACCAAGGAAGAGGACCAACAGGAGGAAUAGGAACAAGCAAAUGUGUAUCGAGUCAGCUAAGAUGGUCACUGCAGUUCAAGGAGGACAAGAUCAUCUAUUUAAGUCACCGUUCCUAACCAAAAAGGACGACCCAGGCAUGCCAAGCAUCCAGUGCUCCAUUAAUGGAUACAACAUCCAGAAGAUGCUUUGUGACACCGGGUCAGGCGUCAACAUAAUGGCCGCAGUCACCUAUCAACUCCUGUUCGGAACCAUGCCACUAAAACCGUCAUACAUUUAGCUCCAGAUGAUUUUAAGGUUAUUGACAUGGGAGAAGACGAGUAUGAUCCACCCAUCAUCCUUGGAAGACCGUUCCUCAGCACUGUUAAAGCAAUCAUCUACAUUGAAACUAGAGAAGUCCACAUGCACUUCACCUCUGAGAAGGUAUGCCGCUGUUUUACUGACCCUAACUAUAUAGUUGAAGACUCUAAGCAGGUCAGGACAAGAAGAAGACGACGCAACCGCAACCAGAGGAGGCAAAUCAUCAAGGACGGAUGGGCAGACUAUGAAGGAGAAGUUGUAAGGUCUGAAGACAUACAGCUUGAACAGAACUGUCCUGAGGAGACCGUAGCACCGAGUCAGGUGUGUAGAGAGAAGAUAGUUAUACAUGAAGAGCAGGCGCUGCCGGAACCACCGACUACGCCAUCCAGUGAAUCCCAGGAUGACUGUGAAAACAGAGAGUCCCGUUCGGAGGACUUAAAAACACUGAAUGCCUUGCCAAGAGGUAAACUUGGUAGUUAUCUUUUGCUUUUCAAUUAUUUAAAAUAGUUUGCUUAGUUAAUCAGGUUCAUAUCAUCUUAAAAAGAAAAUAAAAAUGUUAAAAAUAGUAAGCCCCAUGUGAGUAUGCUCAUGGCAUAAAACCCAUAAGUACAUUCACUGUGGUGGCAUAAAAAUAAAAUAAAUAUAUCCUUGUCCUAUAAAAAUAAAAUUAUAAAAAUAAAUUUAUGAUCCUACUAAACAGAGUAAUAUUUAUUGAGGAGGCUCAACAUGAUAAAGGCUAGAUAUUUAUGCUAACACUUAACUAGUUCCACAAAGCUUUGUUGUCUAUUUGAGCUCCACAGAAUUCAAGGAUCAAAGAAGACUAGCAGACGGAGGACAUCCUAAUCGCUGUCAGGGUGCUGUUGACAUUCAAAUACACCUCCACCACUUGCUAGCUACAACAGAAGAAAUUACGUCAAAAUCCAGCUUGGGGAAGAGCACCCCCAUUUAUCCAGCUAAGUAUUCUACUCAUGUUUAUACUUUACUCUAAUAAUAAAAAGAUGCAUAAUCAUAUAAACCCAAAUAAAGAUUUUGUGCUUAUAUAUAUCUUUGCUUAGUUUGCUAAAUAAAUAAAUAAAUAAAGUUUGCUAUGAACCCUCAUGAUAAGCUCUCACAUGGAAAUGAUGAAUAGUUGCUCUGCCAUGACUAGUUCUCAAAAUUGAAAUCUCUCUCAAGUUUAGGCCUAACUGUUAUUAAUUAAGAUUUGUUCUAAACCUAAACUUGUGGGAAGAGUACUUGAUCUGAAGUCUAAGUCGUUAACGGAUAUGAUAUGGGAAGGUUGAGCUGCUGUUAUCUAUUCCUAGAGAUGCUAGAAUUCUGGAGAAUUUUAUCUUUGAAAAUCUUUAAAAUGUUGCAUGAUGAGUUCCUGUAUGAUGAGAGUUUUAAUUCCUACAACAGCCAUAUAUACAUGCUUGUUAGACUAUGAACCACACAUUUACUUUUACUGCUUAUGAGCAUUGAGUGUGGUCAAGCUGUGUAGACCCUUAGGAGCUUGUCAUGUGGUUAAAUCAAGAUUCACUUGCACGUUCAAUCACAUAUGCUGCUUCUACUCCGGAAGUACGCAUCCACAUAUAUCCAUCCAUUUCCAUCUCCAGAACCACCCAAAAAUAUUCUACUCCUAAUCCGGGAGAGAAUAGCCAAAAACAUUUCUGUUUUCCCCUUUUGAAAUAAAUGCUCAAGUUAUCUUGGUUACUACCACUUGCUAUAUUAUUUCAGGAGAUGAGUGCUCUAAAAAAAAGAAGAAGAAAAAAAAGAGAGAAAAAAAUAAUAAAAUAAUAAUAAAUACGAGGAAAUAAAAAGGGGUAAGUGCCCGGAACCUCGAAAGAAAAGAAAAAGUGAGACGAGAGGUAAAAAUGGACAAGUGUCCGACAGUAGAAUUAGGGGUACAAGAUACCCACGUGAGAGAAAAAGAAAAUAUAGAGCAUCUCAUUUUCCUCAAAAAGUUUCAAAAGAGCAAGAAAGGUAUGUACCCCCUCAAAAGAGCAAAAGUAGAAUUAGACUUUCACCAUUGUUAUCACCAUCAUUACCAUACACCAUUUAUUCGCCACACAUGCACAUCUUGAUUUGACUUAUUGACUUGUUCUUCUGGAUCCAUGGUUUGACUAUGCAAUAAAUGUCUUGUAAGUAUGUAUUAGCUGUCUCCCACCUAUGAGCUCCAGAUAUCAAAACCUUAUUAGAGUAGGGUGAGAGAGAAGGCAAUGUCACUAUACCAAAAAUACCACAUACUUUGAGAGAAGGCAUAUACCAUUACUGCCUUGGUAAGGAUCCAGAAAUACCACAAAAGAGAGACUAGAGAGAGUCAUACAAGGAAUCUCUGAGUUUUAUUUGAAAAUCUGCAAAAACUCCAGAGCUAUAGUUAAUCGAAGAAUAAGAGACAUGGCGCUUGACUAGACCGUUCUAUCUUUUAACUACUCAAGACAGAAGUGACGGUUGCAAGCCCCAUGGUGAAAGGUAAAUGAGUAAGUUUUAAGUCUUAACAGUUUACUCUAACCAGAGAUGAGAUCUAGUUUAAACGCAUGUGUAUCUUUAAGUUAUGAAACCACUGCAGAAACUCUUGAGUUCAUCUUUGCUCAGGGACGAGCAAAGGUUAAGCUUGGGGGAGCUUGUUGACGGUCCUUAAUGCUCAUAUUUAACCAUCAAUUAAUCAUAGAAAAGGAUCCAAAUGCAACUAACACCUAGACUUAGGGUUUUAUCUGACAGAAUUCCACGAGUUUUGGUGUUUGUCUAUUUCUGCAGGGGGUUAUCAGGAAAUAUGGAGGAAAGGCCCACACGUCGGGUUUACAUAGAGAUAUUAACGUGCCGCGCAAUUUUCUAUCAUCUAGAAGACUCCAGAAGCCACGGGACCGAAGCGGAAGCCGAGGGGCCUCAGGGACAGGGCGCCCGCCCUAGUCCUGAGGGCGCCCGCCCUCCCCCUGGACCAAUCAGGGUGAAGUUCGGGGAUCAUGCUCCACCGACCUAAUACUUCAAGGAAAACCACACGAUCAAUGUCGGUUUGAUCCGACGGCCCAGAUUCACUUGAAGGGACUAUAAAACCAGACCCCCCUGGCCCCUGGAGAUCAUACCUCUUCUACAGAAUCAAAGCUAGGGUUUCAAUUCUUCAUCCAAGUAGAGAGGAUCCCUCUAGUUCUUCUAGUUCUAGUUCCUCUAGUUCUAGUUCUAGUUAGUUCUAGUUGUAAUCUAGAAAAUAGCGAGAGAGAAGAGGAGAGCGGAGGAGGAGCCGGAUCUGUCGGAUCUUCCUCAACAUUAUACUUUUGCAGCAUCAGGUUCGUUCUUCAUCGUUCUCCAGGUUCUUCAAUUAAUAACUCCUGAGUUCUCUAAUUACUUUUAUUUACAUUCAAGUUAUUUAUUGGAUUCCCGCUUGCAUCAAGUGCUCUAGUCUUUAUAACGCUAGAGUAGUAAUUAAUAGAUUAGACGUGGUGUUUAGUCUUGCGAUUACCUGGAAUUGCACCCAAUCCUACGGAUUGUUGUGGUAGCCCUAGGGUAGUGACAGCCCUAACGGUCGACUUAUUCCACCAAGUUCGGAUCGGUGUUUGUAGGACCGUAGUCAGACCUUCCUAGCCCCCUUCUCAUCUCUUUCUGUGGUUAGUGCUCUAAUGUCCCGAUAUAGAUAAUCUUGAAGUAAUUCUUGAUUCUUAGAUCAACUAGAGAACUCUCAGGAAACUUCCUCUCUUCCCACCAAAAAUAAUUACAUAGUUAUCCUUGGGCGAUCUUGGAUCUUAAUUAGUACACUCACGUUCUCUGUGGAAAAUCGAUACUCUGGAAUACUCCCGGGUGAAGGCUACAUCGGUAUCCGU
RNAcentral lists this long non-coding RNA (6461 nucleotides) under Sorghum bicolor (sorghum). RNAcentral's name for it is "long non-coding RNA (SBIC_LNC006924)". The record is from RNAcentral. Lineage: Eukaryota; Viridiplantae; Streptophyta; Magnoliopsida; Poales; Poaceae.